Molecule: ribosomal RNA, 497 nt
Filed under: uncultured bacterium
Lineage: Bacteria
Description: partial 16S ribosomal RNA
Rfam family: Bacterial small subunit ribosomal RNA
Source: RNAcentral
GAUGAACGCUGGCGGCGUGCUUAAUACAUGCAAGUCGAGCGAACAGACGAGGAGCUUGCUCCUCUGACGUUAGCGGCGGACGGGUGUGUAACACGUGGAUAAUCCACCUAUAAGACUGGGAUAACCUCGGGAAACCGGAGCUAAUACCGGAUAAUAUACUGAACCGCAUGGUUCAAUAGUGAAAGACGGCUUUGCUGUCACGUAUAGAUGGAUCCGCGCCGCAUUGGCUAGUUGGUAAGGUAACGGCUUAUCAAGGCGACGAUGCGUAGCCGACCUGAGAGGGGGGUCGGCCGCACGGGAGCUGAGACACGGUCCAGACUCCUACGAGAGGCAGCAGUAGGGUAUCUGACGCAAUGGGCGAGAGCUUGGCGGAGCGACGGCGCGUGAGUGAUGAAGGUCUUCGGUGCGUGAAGCUCUGUUAUUAGGGAAAAACAAAUGUGUAAGUAACUAUGCACGUCUUGACGGUACCGAAUCAGAAAGCCACGGCUAACUACGUG